GUUGUCCGGAAUUAUUGGGCGUAAAGGGAGCGCAGGCGGUUGAAAUAGUCUGAUGUGAAAGCCCACGGCUUAACCGUGGAAGGUCAUUGGAAACUGUUCAACUUGAAUACAGAAGAGGUAAGUGGAAUUCCAAGUGUAGCGGUGAAAUGCGUAGAUAUUUGGAGGAACACCAGUGGCGAAGGCGACUUACUGGUCUGUAAUUGACGCUGAGGCUCGAAAGCGUGGGUAGCAAACAGGAUUAGAUACCCUGGUAGUCCACGCCGUAAACGAUGAGUGCUAAGUGUUAGGGGGUUUCCGCCCCUUAGUGCUGGAGUUAACGCAUUAAGCACUCCGCCUGGGGAGUACGGCCGCAAGGCUGAAACUCAAAGGAAUUGACGGGGACCCGCACAAGCGGUGGAGCAUGUGGUUUAAUUCGACGCAACGCGAAGAACCUUACCAACUCUUGACAUCUUCUGAUCAUCCUAGAGAUAGGGCUUUCCCUUCGGGGACAGAAUGACAGGUGGUGCAUGGUUGUCGUCAGCUCGUGUCGUGAGAUGUUGGGUUAAGUCCCAUAACGAGCGCAACCCUUAUUGUUAGUUGCCAGCAUUCAGUUGGGCACUCUAGCGAGACUGCCGGUGAUAAACCGGAGGAAGGUGGGGAUGACGUCAAAUCAUCAUGCCCCUUAUGAGUUGGGCUACACACGUGCUACAACGGACGGUACAACGAGUAGCGAUCCCGCAAGGGUUAGCGAAUCUUAAUAAGCCGUUCUCAGUUCGGAUUGUUCUCUGCAACUCGAGAGCAUGAAGCCGGAAUCGCUAGUAAUCGCGGAUCAGAAUGCCGCGGUGA
This 825-nucleotide ribosomal RNA is filed under the name uncultured Bacillota bacterium. RNAcentral describes it as "bacterial SSU rRNA". It matches the Rfam family "Bacterial small subunit ribosomal RNA", at positions 540 to 1365 of the family's 1533-position model. The record is from RNAcentral. Lineage: Bacteria; Bacillati; Bacillota.